Molecule: transfer RNA, 68 nt
Filed under: Haementeria acuecueyetzin
Lineage: Eukaryota; Metazoa; Annelida; Clitellata; Rhynchobdellida; Glossiphoniidae
Description: tRNA-Ser
Source: RNAcentral
AGUUAUUUAGUUUCGGAAACAUAGGAUUUUGAAAAUCCUUAAUAAAUGUUCAACUCAUUUAAUAACUU